GGGCGAUCUUGUGAGCCCUCCUUCUAAUCCGAUGGCCGGAGGUUCGAAUCCUCCCGGGC
RNAcentral lists this transfer RNA (59 nucleotides) under Actinopolymorpha pittospori. RNAcentral describes it as "tRNA-OTHER". The record is from RNAcentral. Lineage: Bacteria; Bacillati; Actinomycetota; Actinomycetes; Propionibacteriales; Actinopolymorphaceae.